AAUUACCCCUGUCUCUCUGAAAGAUACUUAAACUCAAAGCCUCACAAUUGUCAACCGAAAUAAUUGAACUCUAUGGAGGCAUAACUUGAUAUUACUUAAAGAAACCAUAAUGUAUUUUUUGUUCAAGAACCAAGAUUUUCAAAAACUAAUAAAUCUUAAAGGCCCAAGCUUUUCUUGUGAGCCCACAUACAAAUAAUUGUAGGCCUGAAUUAGCCACCUUCCCCUAGUCUAGAACUAGAAGAAUCUAAAUUCUAUCAUCUCAAAAGUUUGUUAAUUUUGUUUGAAGCUCGAAGAAGAUUCAGUCUCCAUGUCUUUACCUCUGCAAGGCCUCUUUCGUCUCCGAUCAUCGACUAGGGUUUCACCACACCUUCGAAUCCACGCUUUCCAGAAGAAGUCUUGCACUUGCCUCUAAUUUUCAUAAACUCAAUUCUAGAAGUCUCACAACCCUAUGCCAGAACAAACCCCGCCACCG
This 472-nucleotide unclassified non-coding RNA is filed under the name Hevea brasiliensis (rubber tree). Lineage: Eukaryota; Viridiplantae; Streptophyta; Magnoliopsida; Malpighiales; Euphorbiaceae. The record is from RNAcentral.